CCUCNUUUAAGGUGGAAUUNCUUUNGAUACUUUCGGNCUUGANUNCAGGAGAGGUAAGUGGAAUUNCCCGGUGUAGCGGUGAAAUGCGUAGAGAUCGGGAGGAACACCAGUGGCGAAGGCGACUUACUGGACUGUAACUGACGCUGAGGCGCGAAAGUGUGGGGAGCAAACAGGAUUAGAUACCCCGGUAGUCCACACUGUAAACGAUGAAUGCUAGGUGUAGGGGGUAUCGACCCCGGGUGAACCGGAGUUAACACAAUAAGCAUUCCGCCUGGGGAGUACGGCCGCNAGGUUGAAACU
RNAcentral lists this ribosomal RNA (300 nucleotides) under uncultured bacterium. RNAcentral's name for it is "partial 16S ribosomal RNA". It matches the Rfam family "Bacterial small subunit ribosomal RNA", at positions 603 to 901 of the family's 1533-position model. The record is from RNAcentral.